UCGCCAGGUCCUUCUUUCUAGUCUGUCUUAGCCUGGAAGCUUUGCUGAAAUCUGUCCACCAUUGGUGACUCUAUCAGUGGCAUAGCUCCAGCAUCACAGCAACACACAAGCCACCACAGUAUGACAAAGUGACAGACGAUUGGCGGUACCUAAUCAUAAAGAACAAAUAAACCAUGACGUUUAAUUUUAAAAACAUAGUUACAAGCCUCAUUGUUUCAAGUGGACAAUGGAUAUGCAUAGAGAUUAUUCAUGGAAACCUAUAAAAUAACUUCAAGCUUUCAGUUUAUUUAGUCAGAAAUAUAUAAUCACAUUGAAAAUUGUAUGGCAUUGAUGCCCUGGUGGUGCAGUGGUUAAGAGCUACCGCUGCUGACCAAAAGGUCGGCGGUUCUAAUCCACCAGCCAUUCCUUGGAAACCCUCUGGGGCAGUUCUACUUUGUCCUAUAGGGUAGCUGUAGAAUAAACUCAGUGGCAGUGAGGCAGAGCAGGUGCAAAUGAAGUAUACUUGAACAUAGCUUUACAUGGUCCCAUCAUCCCUGAUGACAGUGCCCAAAGUAGGGCCACACAAGUGUGGAGAAACUUCAUCUCCACACUACAGCCUUUUUAUGCUUGGGGCUUACAUCACUGCUCAAGAAAAACAUGAUCUCUACUCUUAAUGCUUCCAUUUAAGAAAAUGUUUAAAAACAUUAAGCUCUUCUGAUUCUUGAACCAAAUUUAUGACAGUGAGGCCACAACUUCAUCUGAGGAGAAGAGCUGUGUUAGUGCCUGGGUCUCUGCCUACAGCUUUACAUUCCCAGAGUGACUGUUUCCCCCCACUCAAGCUAUAGGGAUACAGUAUGACAGAUACAUAUUUUUUCUUCCUGUCACUGUCUGAAGAUAGAGCAUUGAGAAUAUACAUCCAAACCCAUUGCUGUCGAGUCAAUUCCAACUCAUAGCGGCCCUAUUUAACAAAGUAUAACUGCCCCAUAGGGUUUCCUAGACUGUAAUCUUUACAGAAGCAGAUUGCCACAUCUUUCUCCCAGUAAACAGCUGGCAGAUUUCCGUUAGCAGCCAGACACUUAACUACUACACCACCAGGGCUCCUUGAGGAUACACAUAAAAAAAAUAGGCUAGUGAAAAUGGAGCCAUGCCUAAUUUGCUUAGCUUUAGAUUCAACAGGUGACUAGUCACUUACUGUUGGACUAUCCCACUAACAGCGUAAUAAUAUCAACCCUAUUCCUUCCUUUUCCUAGAUAUAUCCCUUCUGGAAAGCCUGGAAAGAAAGGGAGGUAUUUCAGCCUUUAUCAAAUUUUCAAAGAGGACCAUGACCCUUUUUAGAAAUAUAUUUUAAAGAGCAUCUUUUCUUCAAAUCUGUUUUUUGAAUCUUGCCAGAGUCACCUUUUUACAUAAAUCUUCAAGCUCCCACCAAAUAUUAUAUUAUUUCCCUUCUCAUUCUUAUUGUUUCGUCAAUCCUUGCCCCUUUAAUUAAAUUUCUGUCCCAAAGAAAUGACAUUUUCUUCUCAUUUUCCCAGAAGUCUAAGGAAACUUGAAGUGUUAGGAUAUCUGGCUUUAACCCUAAACAUUAUGUUGCUCUUAAUUGGCAUUUAACUGUUUCUAUAAUCUUACAUUUUUAAAAUAUAUAUAGUGUACGGCAAUGGAUGCAUCCUUGUUUGUUACACUAAAACUAGUGCCAUAGGUUUUUUUUUGUUUUGUUUUGUUUUUCAGUAUGAGCACCUUUGCUUAUGGCUUUCCCCUAGAAAUAAUCUUGCUUACUAAACAGUAUUGGUUUCCUGGGGAGAAUCUAUUCAUGAUGAAUUCUUUUUAGGGUAUAAAAUUGUGCUGUCUAUGUAAAACAAGGUUUUUAAAGUAAAAACUACAGUGACUUUCCAAUAAAGUCCUAAUAGAAUGUGGGGGUGGUACUUGACAAGGUGGUUCUAAACUGAAAGUAAAAUUUAGGGAAAUAAUUAAGGAAUUUUGAAGAUAAAGAAUUAGGGUAGCCGUAGCCUAUCAGAUGUUAUGAAACUACAAUAAUUAAAAUGGUGUGGUGGUACUGUUGCUGGUGGUGAGCAAAAUAACUGAAACAGGUGUUUGGCUCUUCCAUUCGUGGGGAUGUGAAUCGGUGCAAUGUUUAUGACAAGCUGUUAGGUUAUCCAUAGGAAAAGUUUUUGAAACAUGCAUUCUAUUGUACCCAUCAUUUCAAUUUUUAAAAAUUUUCAUAAGAAAACAAUUCAGUGUGUGCACAAAGAUUUAGUGAUGAGGGUGUUCAUCACAGCAGUUUUUAUUUUAAUACCAAAAAAUUGGAAACAACCUAAAUGCUCAGCAAAGGAUUAAGUAAAUAAAUUGAAACACCGUAUGCAGUUAAAAUUGUACUACAGAACUUCAGUUUUUGGUAAACAAAAUUUCAGAAUAUAUAAAAAAAAAAAAUUUUUUUUUUUAUAGUUGAGUGAGGUAAACAGUAUAUUAAACUUUAUGACACCAUUUUUUAAGGAAAAAGGUAUAUAAUAUAUACAAAACAACUGAAGAAUAUAUAUGAAAAUGUUUAUCUUGGGAUAUUGGUAUUGUGGGGGGGGUUGUUUCGUUUUGUUUUGCUAUAUCUGUUGGUUACACAAUUUAAAAAAAUAUAAGAAAUAUUUUUAAGGGAAGGUUGUAUGAAAUCUAGGGUUCCUAAAAGUAUCCAUUCUCCUAGUUUUCUUUGUCUUUAAAAUGAUAUUUUCUCAUUUUAAAGGAAUAUUUUAAAGGAGCAAAUCUUUUCAGCUUUUCAGCUUUAGUCAGAUUUGUGGGUUCUGUAAGAGGAAGGCAUUUCUCUAGAUGGAAAGGUAUUGGGACAUACCAGGAAGACGUUGCUAAACAGAAAGUUAUUUUUUUUUAAGUUAUGUUAAAGAGCUGUAGUGUAGCUCAGUGAGUGAAGACACCUGCCAUAUGUCUGUUUCCUACACAACAUGGUGAUUUACAAUUGCAAUUAGUCUGUUUAUAUACCUCAGUGUAGCUAACCCACGCUUAGGAUAUAAUAUAAGCCCAAGUCACUUCAUGUUUCUGGAUGUUUACUUUUCAAUUUUUAAAGCUUUUGAAAAAAUAGAAAUCCUGGUUUGAACCCAAUAGAAUUCUCUCUGCUUGUCAUUUUUUUAAGAACUAAAAGAAUAUAAAUGAGAUCUAUGGAUUUCUGAGUUUGAACACAGGGUCAUUUCCCGUGAUUACAGGCCUAGCCAGUUGGAAGAUGAAUUGUCAUGAAGUGAAUCUACUCCAAUUCCCAGUAAAAUCCUUUGCCCCCAGAAAACAAUCCAGCACAUGGAUCUGUUUGGUUGCUACUCUGCCACCUCACUUUUUCACUAGAAGUCCUACUGAAAAUUCUACAAAAGGCAGAAUAACUACUUUGGCCUUGAACUUGGACUUCUUAGGUUUUCUUCCCCCAACUUCUAAUAAAAUAACAAGAUACAGACUAGUUUCACUUACUGCUAUUGACUCUUCUACAGACUGCCUGCCAAAGACUAUAGUUGAAAAAAGAACUGAGGCCUUACUGAGAAUCCACUAUAUAAUAUAUUCAGCAUUCCUUUCUAAAACUGUACAACCUCUGUCCUGUCAUUUCUUCUUCUCCGAAGGAGUAACUGAAUUGUUUAACGGUUUGUUCUCUUUUUCCUUCCAGCAUGUAUGGUGUAGACUCUUUUCCAGGACUAGGCCCUGUGGCCAAGGCAGUGUAUAAGAUUCAUUUAUUAACUUAGAAUGGGUUGUAAUGCUCCUGAAACAGCUUUAUAAUUUUGAAUAUUGUCGAUUGAUUAGUGGGCAAAUCUUAAUACAUGGUUUUUUCUUAAUUAAAAGAGAAUGUGUUUCCAUAUAUCAACCUAAUUAAAAAUUUAAACUAAAUUCAGUUAUUUGUCGAUGUGCCCAUUCAACAAAUAUUAAUUGAGGACCUUAUGUAGCAAGCUGAGCCCCAGCCCUCAAGGAGCUUGAAGUCUGGUGGGCUGUCCAGGCAUUAAACAAAUAAACAUGUUAUUACAAUUUAUAAUAAAUACUGUUGAGGGGGUUAGGCAUUGGGAGUCUUAGUUUAGAUUUAUAUUUAUAGUCCUCCUGUUUUAAUAUGUAUAUAUUGCCUCUGAUAACAAUUGUCAAUUGUUAACAAACAUUGUGACCCAGAGGGACCUGCAGAAGUAUAGUCCUAUAGCCAAGGUAUAGUUUAGAAGGGUAGCAGAUCUGGGUUCAAUUCCUAGCCCAGUCGCGUACUGCCUCUGUUACUUUGAGUGAGUUACUUCUUUCAGCCUCAGUUUCUCAUUUGUAAAAUAUGUCUAGCAAUGCACAGGAUGAUGGAGCUGAUAUAAGGGUAAAAUUGAGUAAUGUAAAAAGAAACCAGGACUUGACCUUUGCGUAGUAAACCAAGACCAAACCUGUUGCCUUUGAGUCGAUUCUAACACUUAGUGACUCUGUAGGACAGAGUAGAAUGCCCCAUAUGGUUUCCAAGGAGCAGCUGGUGAAUUUGAACUGCCGACCUUUUUGGUUAGCAGCCGUAGCUCUUAACCACUGUGCCACCCGGGCUCCAAGGUACUCAAUUUUUUUCUCCAUUAAGCUUUCAUUGUACUUUGUCUCUGCUGUAUUUAUAGCUCAUAAAUCACUCUUUUGCAUCCUCAGAAAUGUCACAUAAUAGGUAUUCAACUAUUGCUAGCCAGCACUGAAUGAAUGAAAGGACAGCAAAAGUAGAGACAGAGAACUCUCUGUCUCAGUUGCCAGAGAACUUACUUUCUGAUACUGGGAAGCAGCUUUCGGAAUUAAAAUAAUUGGGAGACAGUUAUAAAGUCCAUUUACUUAGCUGUCAAGUCAGAACUAGCUAAAGGAACAGAUGAUAAGUUUUUAUUUGAAGGAUUUAGAUACAGACUUUUUGAAAAGCCAUAUAGCAUUAUAUAAUUGAGAGGUAUAAUCUCUGAACUUGUUUCCAGCCUAUAAUAAUUGUGCGAGUCUCCUUUGUAAGUACAAAACAGUUGUUACAGGUUGAAUAUGGAGGUUGGAGGAUGGUGAGUAUAGGAAUGGACAGAAUAGGAUGAGCAUGGCCUUCGUAUUGUGAUUUCCACUUAACUUUGCUUCCUGACCUCCCACUAUAGGCUUCUCAAUUGCCUCUCCCAAAUGCAAGCUGAAUCCUGCCUUUGUUCCUACUAUUUCUGUAUUGAAUGGCAACCUUUUCUAGCUUUUCAAAGCCUACCAUUCCUGAUAUAGAGAAAAUGUGGAUAAUACAGAAAGGAAGGGGGGACAUGUUUAUUUUAUUCCUAUGAAGGAGCUAAAGAGGCAGUGUGAUAGAAAAGAAAAAGAAUCAAAUAGUCCCAGAUCUGUAUCCUGGCUCUCAGCCACUUACAGGCAUAAUGCCACCACCACUCCAGGGCUCCCAUCCCAGUAUCAUCGUGAUGAUUAAAUGAGAUAAUAUGUAAAGUAUGGUCAUUAAACACUGGUCUUCAUUCCUUCUUCUAAGCUAAUGGAAGUUUUACUGAUAUUACUAAUCAUCAAAAGUUGUCAAACUUAGUGUCUCCUCAGAGAGAAGGCGGGAUUAUGUAUUAGUUACUUGCCAACUAUCUAAAAUGAGGAAAAAUUCCUGAGAAAUUUGUUUAAUUUAGAAGCUUUGGCCAACAGAGUAAAUGUCUUAGUUAUGUAGUGCUGCCAUAACAGAAAUACCACAAGUGGAUGGCUUUACAAGGAGAAAAUUUAUUUUCUCACAGUCUAGUAGGUUACAAGUCCAAAUUCAGGGCAUUGGCUCCAGGGGAAGGCUUUCUCUCUCUGUCCACUCUGGAGGAAGGUCCUCAUCCUCAAUCUUCCCUGGUCAAGGAGCUUCUCAGGCGCAGGGACGCCAUGUCCAAAGGAUGCGCUGUGCUCUGGUGCUGCUUUCUUGGUGGUAUGAAGUCCCCAACUCUCUGCUUGCUUCUCUUUAUAUCCCAAUGUAAAGGGAAACUGCCUUUACAUUGAAUCAGGGAGGUGACCUGAGCAAGGGUGGUGUUACAAUCCCACCCUAAUCCUCUCAACAUAAAAUUAAAAUUACAAAAUGGAGGACAGCCACAAAAUACGGGAAAUCAUGAGCUAACCAAGUUAACACACACAUUUUUGGGGGGAUAUAAUUCAAUCCGUGACAGUGAAUGUCCCCAUUUUCUGUAAUAUUUUUUCAUAGGUGGUAUAGUGGUUAAGAGCUAUGGCUGCUAACCGGAAGGUAGGCAGUUCAAAUCCACCAGGCACUCCUUGAAAACCCUAAAGUGUCCUUUAGGGUCACUAUGAGUCAGAAUCGGCUCGACAGCAACGGGUUUGAUUUUUUUUUUUAACCUGAAGUUGGGUGAAAGGAGAUAAAGUAGAUAACUUCUCAAGAUUUCUUCCAGCUCCAUUAUCCUGUGACUUUUCUAGAUCUGUUUUAUAGGUUGAGGUACAAAGUACUCAGGUACAAAGUGUUGUUUUAUAGAAUUGCUUCUAGCAUUAGGAAGAAAUUUGACAUUUUGAAAACACAUAAGACUAUUCACCAGCUGAGUAAUGUUUUACAGAUAACUAGCUUCUUAUCUCCUCUGACAUUAUUCAAAUUUAGAUCCUGCCUGUGCUUGAAGAUCAGGCAUUAUGUUUUAUACUUUCAAACACGUUUUCCCCCCAGCUUCCCCUUACCAAACCAAAAACCAAGCCCACUGCCAUUGAGUCGAUUCCAAUUCCUAGUGACCCUAUACAACAGUGUAGAGCUGUCCCUUGGGGUUUCCAAGGCUGUAAAUCUUUAUGGAAGCAGAAUGCCACAUCUUUCUCCUGCAGAGCAGCUGGUGGGUUCGAACUGCUAACUUUUAGGUUAGCAGCCAGGCGCAUUAACCAGUGUGCCACCAGGGCUCAACUUCCCCUUUGGGCAGUUAUUAUCUGUUCUCUUUUAUUAAUGUAGAAACAGGCUUAGAGAGGUUAGAAAACUUGCCCAAGAUCACGUGGACAGUAAGUAGUGGAGCUUAUAUGACAAAGCAAAAUCUUUUGACUGUAAAUCCAAAUAUUUUUCCAGAUUAUCAUAUGGUUUUGUUAUGAUACAAUAUGCAACUCUACAGUUCGUCAUCUGAAACCCUUGAGGUCAAAUUUGUUUUGGAAUUUAGAAUUCUUCAGAUUUUCAAAGCAUAGUAGUCUGGGCAGUACCCCAUAAUCAAGCACAGUAAUUUUUUUUUGCAGCAAAACAUGUAAAUAGUAAUUGGGAUAAAUAAAUCUUAUAAGUAAUUUUACCUCAGGUCAGAUCAGGUAUUCCCACCAGGUGAUUCACCUCAAAUUUACAGAAGAAAUUUCAGUUUUCAAAGCUUUUUGAAUUUCAGAAUGAUGGUUAAGGGAUUACAGACCAGAAUUUCCUUGUGGUUUUAAAAAAAAGAAAUUUUCUUCCCUUCCCUCCUACAGGGUCGCUAUGAGUCAGAAUUGACUCAAUGGCAAGAGGUUUGGUUUUUAACCAAUAAGUAUAUGGGCUGAAAAGUUACAGUAACUACUUUUUUUAGGGGGUAGGACAGUUGGACUCAGAUCGGUGAGAUUGAGAGGCAUUAUCCUAAGAGGAAAAUUUUGGAUAUUUUCAUAAAGAUAUGAUUCUUAAUUUUCCCAGAAAAAUUGACAUGUGAACCUGUUGAGAACCCUGUCACUUUGUGCUAAGCAUCAUCAGGCACUAAUUUCAUCAAGCUAAUCUAACAGGACAGCCAAGCGACUUGCCUUUAAUUUGUUGUGAUUGUGUUAUAUUUACGAAAAGGAGCUCUAAAGUAGAAGAUAAGCAAGUGUUGAGACACUGAUUAUUUUCAUAAAUAGUUUUUAAGAAUAUUGCCAAAUCCAAGUAGACGCAGAGUAAGUUUUCUGAAUAUAUAAAACAUAAGUCAUUCUUUUAGUAAUAAGUCACUAAAUGCAUACAAAUGUUAGAAAUGAUCACCUCAUUGCAAAUACAUUUUUAUAGCACCUCUCUGCCUGCUAAAUCUGUAUUACCUUUGAGAUUUAAACUCUAAAGAGAAGAGGUGGAAAAAGACUUCACAUAUAGGGAUUUAUUGUGUUGUUCUUGACUUUCCUGAAGAAGCCAUCACACUGACACCAUAGGUGGAAAAAGAAUGUUUUGCUCCUUCUGUGACACGUCACUAACGUAGUUAAUCCAGAGCCAUAAAUUUUUGUCUUCUGGGCCAAGAAGUUUUGAGUAAAAUACUAACAAAAAUGUUACACUUUUAAAUGAGAAGUGAAAGAAUCUUUAUCCUUUUUAUUUGAGUUUCCUGAAAUGGCACACUCCAUAAAAAUUGUAUCAUUUUUAUUUCUAAAUUGAGUUCUUGCAUUAGUCAGUAAACAGUUUAUUUGGUGAACAUUCUCUGUGCACAUAUAUACACCAUGUGAACAUAUAGGAAACAGAAGGUGCUUGAAUUUGUGAGAUUUAAAUAUUUUUUCACAGUUGAUCCAGUGAUACUGGAGUUGAAAUAAAACUACAUAUAAAUGAAAUACCACUUCCUACUAAAAACCAAGUAUAGAUUUUCUUUUAUUGUUUUAAUGAGGACAAUAAUUAUUUUAUUUAUUUACAGGAAUGUCUUCUAAAUCUUUAGCAGGCACAUUCUAAGACACCCAUAAAAUUCCACCUGUCCUAGUCACAAAUAUGCACAUACAUUUAAUUACAUUAUCUGACUACACUUAUUUUUUUUAAUAUCCUUGCAAAUACUACUAAAUUUUGAAACUACACGGAGAGCAAUGAGUCAGUUUCUCACUUAUAUGAUUCUUCUAAAAUCAUGUAUGCACAUAUAUUUAUAUCUGUAUUUUAAGUACAUUAUACAAAAAUAUGAGCUGUUGAGACCAUAGGUAGUAUACCAGAACAAGCAAAAGGAUACUCCCUAGCAUAGCGGCUUUUAGCCGCCUCCCAGAUAUCUUUGCUGUGGCCAUAAACUGACUCCUUCUCUUUCUGUAGGUUCCACAGUCUCUCAUCCUCAUAGGCAGUAAGUAUAAAAGUACAUCUGUACUUCUGUAUUGACCAAACACCUAAUAAGCACCUGUUAAGAGCUAAACACUGAAGGUUUAGAAUUAGACAGGGCAUGCAUAGGUCCUGCUUCCAAGAAGCUCACAGGCUAGACAGACGGGAGAAAUAAGAAAGUUAAGGAUCACCUCACGAAGUGGUAAUUGUUGGAGGAAUGGACAAAGAAUAAUGCAGAGAAAGGAGCAAAUAACUCAGCCUGUCGUAUCUGUGAAUAUUUUCAAGAGGAGGGGAUAACUUGAGCUAAGACAUGCAGAAUAACUAGGAAUUGGUUAGGUGGAGGGGGUGAGAAGGAAAGGAAAGAAUACCAAAAGUUAGUGAUGGGAAUAAAAGUGAAGGGAGUUUGUUUUGAAUGAAAACCUAGGUUGUGCUUUGUUAGUACAAUUGAAUUGAAAGUUAAGUGUCGUAGUAAAAAUCUUGGCAACCAUAGCAAAAGUUACAUAGCCUCAGUGUCUAAUUACAUGAACCUUCCAAAAUGCAUUAGUAGAAAUCUUUUCUUAAAUUUAAAGAUUAAUAUAUAACCUUACGGAGAUAUUGAACAAUACCAAUAGACAGUUUCUUUAAUUGUAGUACUUUUGUUGAUGUUUUUGUUCUUGUUAACAUUCAAGACACAAAAUCAUUCUUUAUGUGGCUGGUUCUUAUACUGAUUUAUGACAAAUAGCCAAAAUCAUAAUACUAAGUUCUAAGCUUCUGAAGGCCUUUCUUCCAGGGACUAAAAUAAUUUAAUACUGGUAGAAAGCUUCCUGAAGGUUUGCCUUGACACAAGGCUACAGAUUAGCAGAUCUAGAGAUAUUCGUGGUUAGCAGAUCUUCUGACCUCUUCUUCUCAAGAGUCAGUUGUCUCCACCAACCUUUUGAUAAAAAGCUAUAAAUCAUUUCCUUUAAGUUUAUUAUAAUGCAUAAACACCAGGAAGGGGUCGGUAAUUUAAAAGGCCAUCAUACACUGAAGACAAUAAUGUCUUAAGUAGAAGCCUACUUGCCUUUGCAAAAAAAAAAAAAAAACAUUUUUUAGAAGCCCUGUUGACAGUCACUGGAAUACCAUCCUACUUUUCCUGUCCACACCUCACUAUGUGAGACAGUACCUACCUAGCAUGAUACGAGGGAUAUGACGGGGAUCAGUAAACUUACAUACUAAACAACUGACUUAAAUAAUUAAUCCAUCUGGAUUUUAUUUUCAUGAAAAAUAAAAAUGGUUGACGUAACACACUCCUGUGCAGAGUUAUUCUGUGAAUAACAAUAAAAAACUCAUAAAAAUUAUCGAGAAGUACUUAGCAAGGCAUAGAGAACGAUGCAUUGUGAAAUGAGGAAAUAGUUUAGAUCUUUGAAGUUAUUAUUAACUCUGAUGUUGCUUCCAACCAUGAAUAUUGAAAUACUUUAACACAUGUUAAUUCUUACAAAACCUUCUAAAAUGAAUUCUUAAUAUCAAUGUAGAAUUUGAAGAAGAUUCAAUACUUUUUUUCCAAGUCAUGCAGACUCACCAGCGUCAGAGGCAAUCAACACAUGAAUGAGGCAUGACACUCAUGCAUUAUCUUUAAAUACUGAGUCACAAUUUUUAGCAUAAGUUAUUUCAGCAGAUAAGUUUUGUUUUGAAGACAGGCAAAAAAUCUAUUAGUAUCCAGCACUGGUAGAUCUAUUUCUUAUGAAUAUGAAUUACUUCUGAAAAUCCCCAAAGUAUGUUACUUGCUUAUCUAGUGCUGCUAUAACAGAAAUACCACAAGUGGAUGGCUUUAGCAAAGAAAUUUAUUUACUCACAGUCUAGUAGGCUGGAAGUCCAAAUUCAGGGCACCAGCUCCAGGGGAAGGCUUUCUCUAUCUGUCAGCUCUGAAGGAAGGCCCUUGUCAUCAGUGUUCCCUUGGUCAAGGAGCUUCUCCGUACAGGAACCCUGGGUCCAAAGACACGCUGUGCUCCUAAAGCUGCUUUCUUGGUUGUAUGAGGCCCUCAUGUCUCUCUGCUCGCUUCUCUUGUAUAUCUUAAAACAGAUUGGCUUAAGACACUAUCUAAUCUUGUAGCUCUCAUCAACAUAACUGCUGCUAAUUCAUCUCACUAACAUCAUAGUGAUAGUAUUUACAACACAUAGGGAAAUCACAUCAAAUGACAAAAUGGUGGACGAUCACACAGUACUGGGAAACAUGGCCUCACCAAGUUGACACAUGUUUUUAGGGGGACCCAAUUCAAUCCAUGACAGUAUGUAUAAUGAAACAUUUGUCAGGUCAAUAAUUUGGAGAAGUCUCCUUAAGGCAGCGGACUCGUGUUUAGUACAUUCCAGUGGGUAAUUGCCUUUUCAGACCCUUGCCACCAACUGAGAAUAGCUAGAAGGUGUAUAGCCUACUAACUUAAGAUUUCUAAAUGUUAAUUCUGUUGGCAUUUUAUAAGAAUAUUUAGAAAGCAGAAGAUAAGUAAUUAUUCUGAGAACAAUAGGGUAUUUUAUUGCAGUUUCUUGUAUCUCAAUUUGAGGUGAAAUAUAGCUCAUACGAAUCAUAAUGCCAGAUGACAGUUAUUUUUCAACCAGUUCCUAAAGUAGCUUACAUGUUAUACUUCAAGCGAUAUGAAAAUCCACCUGACUAAGCAUUUACCAAACCCUUUAUUGUCCAGUUCCUUAUGCUUUCUUACCCAAGAGAAAUAACUAUACCCCGUUCUCAAUUGUUUAUGAGUAGAUUGUUUGAGGAAUUAUAUCCAACAAAACCAUACUCUUGAGUUAGCUUUCUUUAGUUUCCCAGUACCAAACUAGUACAUUGUCAGCAAAUAGAAACUACCUUAAAUUAUGCCAAGAAGAAUAUAAACAAGAGAAUAAGUUUUCUCCCUCUACCUUCUUCCUUUCAUGAAUAAAUUUUUUAAAAACUGAAUUUGAAUUAUUUGGAUUACCUGCCAUUUUUAGUUAUCUUUAGUGACUACAUGGAUAAUCCAGAAACCCACUGCCCUUAAACACUUGUUAACAUUAAAAAAGUCACUAUUAAAAUUUAUUGUAUAGUAAUUUGAUACUGUCAAAUAGACACACAUAAAUGUCAAUGUUACCCUUUAUAGGAAAUGAGAAGGGAAAAAAAAGUAGAAUACAGUCUACUCUUUUCAGCUGUUAUAAUAGUUCAGACACUGUUUUUACUGCAAGUUACAGAACCCCAAUUCAAGCAGCUUCCAAAAAAAAAUGAAGAAGGAAGAAUUAUUGGCUUAUGUAAAACUGGAAAAUCCAGGGGUAGAUCUCUUUCUGGUAAUGCCAGAUCCUGGGGCUCAAAUUCUGUCAUCAGGAGUUUCCUUCCAUCUCCUUCUCUAUUUUUCUUUGCCUAUUGGCCUCAUUCUUUUUUAUUUGCAGGCAGGACUUUGUUCACACAGACAGAGAGUAGCUGCAGGCAGUUGCAAUAUCUUCUAUUCAUCAUUAGCCCAGUCAAAAAGCCCUCUGCCUUAGCAUCCAAAUAAGAAUCUUAGUGAAAACUCUGAUUGGCCCUGCCUGGGUAACAUGAUAAUGCUUGAACCGAUCAGUGAAGCCAAACAGAUUGAAAAAUGUGAUUGGCCAGCCUGGGCCAGUGUCCACAUCUACGGGAGGGAUGAGUUCAAUAAGGACAGUGUAGAUUUGAAGAGGAGUGCUUCUCCAAAGAAGGGUUGUUGGAAAAACAACAUAUGUCCACCAUAGUUGCCCUUGUGUCAGUGUCCUCAGUUUCUUGGGAAAUUUCAGGUAUGUACCACAAUCAAAUGCUUGUCUCACUCUUCUAACACAAGGUGAAAAUGUGAGAUAGCUAAAUAAAUGAAAUCCUAUAUUAUAAAAACGUGAACUGACCUAUCCGUCAGCAGAUUGAUAUUCAAGUGUGUGAUUCUGAAGUAGAUCUAAUUGCUAGAACAAUGCCCUGGUCAUUUUUGGCGUGUUUAUUGAGUACCACAUGAAGCCUGAAGCCCAUUAUGUGUAGGGCUUGCUUUCAGUAGUUUUUGUGCCAGUCAGUACCAUCAAGCUCUGGGAUGAGCCCACUUAUUUACCCACCUAUAUCUUGUUGUUGUUGUUGUUGUUAGAUGUUGUCAAGUGAGUUCCAACUCAUAGUGACCCUAUGUACUACAGAAGAACACUCUUCCUGGUCCUGCACUGUCCUUAUAAUCAUUGCUAUCUUUGAGCUUAUUGUUAUAGCCACUGUGUCAAUCCAUCUCCUUGAAGGUCUUCCUCUUUUUUCUCUGAUGCUGUGCUUUACCACGCAAGAUGUUCUUCUCCAGUGACUGGUCCCUCCUGAAAACAUGUUCAAAAUAUGUGAGACGAAGUCUCACCAUCCUUACUUCUAAGGAGCAUUCUGGCUGUACUUCUUCCAAGGCAGAUUUGUUUAUUCUUCUGUCAGCCCAUGGUAUAUUCAGGAUUCUUUGCCAACACCAUAAUUCAAAUGCAUCAAUUCUUCUUUGGCCUUCCUUGUUCAUUAUCCAGUUUUCUCAUGUGUAUGAGGUGAUUAAAAAUACCAUGAUGUGAGUCAGGCACACCUUAGUCCACAAAGUGACAUCUGCACAUAUCCUAGCGUAGAUUAAUAGCAUAGUACCAUAAACCAGUUUUGACAUUUAAACAUACUCAGACUUAGUCCACUAGUUCUUCAUAUUAACCCUACUUUAUCUAUUGGCACAACCAAAUUGUUUUUUUCAAGGGACCACUGCUGAUAUUUUGGGGUUAUUUUCCCCAGUAUUUAAUUUCUCUUUUGAUCAGAUUUUUAUUUGAUGUCUAUCUUUGAACAAAUAAUAGUAGGAUUGUAAUAAUCUGUUUUUUUUUAUUCUUUGGGAUUAGCAGGGUCCUCGUAUUUGUCACUUCAUUCUAUCCUGUACUUCAGGCAAAAUUAUCCCUAAGCUCUCACAGAUAAGUAUACUACGUUGUUUUUCGUUAUUGUUUUUUUAACUUCCAGUGAGAAAGAAAAACCCAGAACCUAUUUCAUUAUUCAUAAAUUAUUUUUAUAUCUGAUUGAAAUAAUAUAGGUUCUUACAAUCUUGUUUAUGUUCUUUUCCCCAGUUCUGGUUUUCUAAUUCUUAUUUCUCUAAAAAUUUUACUGUAUGCUAUCUUCUUGUAGUCUGCCUUAAAUCCUUCAUGAAAGAAGUGAGAUAUUAAGUGAUCAAUAAAGUAAUGAAACGUUCAAACUGAAAUCACUAAUGUAUCUGCUGCUCUCACUUCUUUCAGAGAAGGUAGAAAAUAUAUUGUCAGUGUCCUCUCAACGCUUUAUAUACAAUAAAAGUAUAUUCCAAAAUUGAAUUGCUCUCACAAAAACAAUUUAUUCAUUAAAUAUAUUGAUAGAUGAGUCAAUUUAUUAUAAAAUAUUGUUUUUAAUUGAUUAUAAGACAGUUUUAACUAGCUAAGUUUGAAUAUAUCUUGCAGUCAGUGGGAUAUAAAGCGUUAUAUCAUAGUUUAAUUGGCAGUGUUUUUUCUAAGGGGCACAUAACAUAAUGAUGAAUCUUAAAAUCAGUAGUGUUUUGGAUUACAUGAUACAUAGUACCCUAAUUGACUGUUACAUUUUCAUUUUCCCAAAGAGUUUCAUUAAGUCAGAUUUCUCUUGAGCAACAUCUUUUAAUAGGACUGAAUUUGAAGCUUGCAGUGUAAAGAGCCCCUUUUAUAAGCCAAACUUUCUUUUUAUACUGGUAAUAAUUACUCCUUAAUGUGUCCAUUUGUAAAAUCAAAUAUUGUAUUUCUUAAAUUGGAGCAGACUUAGGUUGAUAGCUUCGUUUAGCUAUCACCAUUCUGUUUGUAUAUACAAAAAACACUGGUGUUGCUCAGAUAUUAGUAGUUUAAGAUUUAGAAAUAGUUUUAUCUGUUUCACACAAAGUGAAAACAAAUUGAUACUGAGAACCUGUUAUUCUGUGUGAAACUGUUUACAUUAAUCUCGAUGAUUUAGUUAUGACUCUCUUGCUAUAAAUCUCCUUGCUGUGUUUCUGUUCUGAUUUAGUGCCUGGUUUAAAGACUAAUGUUACAGGAUAAUUUACUGCAGAUUCACAGAUGGUAUUUGAAUCUGUAUAAAUGGUCUUUGGAAUCCUAUGCACAAUUCCAUAUAAUGUUAGGUUAGCAUCAGCGUAAAUGUUAAACUUAUAACAGUUCUAAAAGAUCAUAAUAGAAAUUUCAUUAUCCCUUUCUAAAAACCAUAAAUUUUGAGGGGGUUUCAUGGACUGGAUAUUUUCACUUCACUGGCAGAGUAUGUAUAACUAGCUCCUUAUAUUUGAAAUCACUAGCUCCUGUGUGUUGAAAAUAAACAUAAAAAGUAAAUUACCUUGUUUUAAACCAUUCUAAAGUUCUAGUCACAGGAGAAGUCACUGUUCUUAUUUUUACAGCUUCCCAUAUGAAACGCCUUAUAGAAUCCACAAACACACAUUGCUUUUAGUGUCUCUCCUUUGAUGUCUAUAAAAGACCCAUUCAGAACUGGAGGCUACUUCUUCAAAUUUAAUUGCCCACCAAUGGCUUUUGUUUAUGUUCACAGUCAACUCUAAUGCACUUAAAGGAUAAGAAUUCAGCAGAGGAAUAACCUUAUCUUAUCAUGAGGUAUAGUUAACCCCUCUCAUCUAGCAUCAGACUUUGGCUUCUUCCUCAUCUCCUUAUGUAAUACCCACCCAUAAACAAGAGGGAUGCCGUAGAACUUUAAUCAUUCUUUUCCUUUCCCCAUUAAAGUCAUGCCUUGUAAGAUUAUUUCUGUAGUUUCUUUCUACCUAGAAAAACUGUUUUUAAGGCAUUAGGCAGCACUAUUUUUUUCCCUUUCAACACUUUUUUUUCCCUUUCAACAUUUUUUAUGUUACUACCUUGGUCUUGGAUUGUCAUUACUAUUAUGUGUAUUACAGAUUUUUAUAAACUAUAGAUUAUUUGGAGCUUGGAGGUGCAGUGGUUAAGCGCUACAGCUACUAACCAAAAGGCCAGCAGUUUGAAUCCAUCAGCUGCUCCUUGGAAACCCUAUGGGGCAGCUCUACUCUGUCCUAUAGGGUUGCUAUGAGUCAGAAUUGACUCAACGGCAAUGGGUUUGGUUCCAAUAGGUUUAUAGAUUAUUUAUUAUCCAUAAAGUAAUCUGUGGCAAAGUUUUAAGAUGGGAAGCAUCAAGCCACACUAUCCCAAAGGAAAGAAAAGAAAAUCAAAAAUUCAAGUUAUCCUAGGUCACCAGAAACAGGGACCUCACUGCAUUAAAAGUCCAGACUUAAAAUCAUAGUUUUCAUUUAAGUACCACAAGAAGUAAUUAGGAUGUAUUCUUCCCUUAAGUCCCCCAUCUCAGUCUUUCAUACACAUAACACUGGUUGGUAGUUCACGGGUGAACCAUUUUUUAUUUUAGUAGUUAUUUGUUUAUUGUAAUAUGUACAGUGAAACCUGUGAGAGCCGAAACUCGAGGAGUCUGGCUUGUUUACGGGGUCUCACAAGUUUUCUGCCUUUGACAGGGUGCCUGCAGUCUUACUACUUUUUAUUACUCAUUUUAAUGGAAAAUAUUUUAUUUCUCCUUCUCCGACAGAUUUCUGCCUUGCACAGGUUCUGACUUUCACAGGUUUCACUGUAUUAGAAAAAGAUAUGAAUAACACGUGAAACCAAUUUAAUCGAUAUUAUUGCUUAAGAUAAGACAAGUGCAAAAAGUGAGUUUAUGUGAAGAAAAUACUGAAUAAUUAAUAGUACUCAUAGUUUGUGCAUGUGGAAAAAUGGAUAAGUGUUAUACAAAUGACUAAGUUAGGGAAACAAUACUCUGUCUAAAGAUGAAAUUCCUGUAACUUUUCUUCCAUCCAAGAACUCACAAGAUUCUUUUAUCACUUCUUUAAUGCGUACUGUCUGUUGACCAUGGUUUAUUUGAUUUAUGUGUAUAUUUGGCAAUUUAGUCUUUUGUCUCUAUAUCUUUCUAUGGCAUUUAGAAAGCCAGCUUCUCUGGGCUUCAGGCUUAGACUAGAUGAUGUCUAAGACUUCUUCCUAUGAAUUUUUAACUCCCUGCAGCAAGGUUAUCAUUUCUCAGCUGAUAAGCUCCCGAAGGUUGAGAACCACUAUAUAACUUGAUCUAAGUAGUGUCUCCACUAGUGUCUAGCAUAGUUAAAAACUCAAAUCACCUUCAAUAAGUAUAUCCCUAUGGAUUGAUUCUCAUUUUCUAAUAAUAAAUCUAAGCCAUGAGAUUGUCCUAAACUAACAUACAAUUUUAAUUAUUGUAUGAAUAAUUUAAAACCUUUUCCCAUAAAACCAAAGGAGACUUAAGGAACACACUAGCCCAGGGGCAAGAUCUAGAAGGCAGAAGGAGACAGGAAAGCUGAUAAUAAGGAACCCAAAGUCGAGAAGGGAGAGUGUUGACCUGUCAUGGGGUUGUUAACCAAUGUCAUAAAAUAAUAUAUGUACUGUUUAAUUAGAAGCUAGUUUGUUCUGUAAACCUUCAUCUAAAGUACAGUAAAAAGUAAUAAUAAUUUAAAACUUUUUAAAAAUAAACAGAAGACUCAUGUCUUUCUUAAAGUUCAUAGAGACACUGAUCUUUUUUUCAUGCUGGGAUUUCUUGAGCAAUGACACCAAGGACAGUAUUGGAAAAUCUAAUUUUUUUCCUUCCGUACUAUCUUAUGAUUAACUAUGAGAGUAAGACAUCAAAGGUGAACUGACUUCAAAGCCUGUAACACUUACGGUUUCCAGCUAUUACUGUAACCAGCCGCUUCACCCUGCCGGUAAUUCAUCUUACAGAGCUGGCUCACUAGGUUCCACCCCUCUGCCUUCUACCUCCUUCUUUUCUAAACCUAUCAAAUUAAAAUCUACCCUUUAAAUGAAUCUCAGAGUUAAACCAGUUCACAGAGUUAGCAUUUAUUUUAUUUCAAGAUUUUACCACUAUAAAAAUAGACUAUAUUUAUUACUUAUUUAUUCACUUUUUCCAAAAUUAUGCUUUUAACCCCAAAGCCUUAAGGUACGUUAACAUUAAACAUGUAAUAUUUUCCAUUAUGUUUGUGAGUUUUUCAAAGUGUAAUAUGUACAGGUAAGUGCGAUUAUGUAUACACCUACCAGUUCAGUUAGGCAUCACAAAUGAAAAAAAGGUGAGCCUGGUAUUUGGCCCUAUAAAUCAAUGAAAUAAAAGGAAGAAUUCCAAAACAUUGAUUCUCCAUCAUAAAUUCCUGGAAUGUAAUUCUUAGAAACAUAUGCUUUCUCUAGUAAGAGAAAUAAAAUCUCAUAAAUAGUUUUCCAGCUACUUAAAAAUUUUUAUUAAAAUUUGAGCUUUUUCUACACUCAUAGCCUACUAGUAGCUGCCUUAUCAUAAGCUGCAGUGCAGUUUCUUGCAAACUGGAGAUUUAGCAUCAGCUAAAAAUUUUUUUUUUUUUCUUUUAAUGGCCCAGCUAACAAAUUUUAAAUUAUUUUACUUGAAUUAUUUGGUACAAUUGAUGGUAGGUAUUUAGCAGCACUAGGGGAAAACAUCUCUUGAGAUCUCAUAGAUAGCAUCCAGAUUACAAAGCUGUGGCACCAAAAGAACUCAGAGAAGACUUAAUAGUUUAGCUGCUCUCAACCUUGACCCAUAUAUAAGGUUCUGAAUAGGCAUUAUUACAAAGACUUUGUGAAUCAUGGAAAUUAAGUAGGCUCAAUGUAAUAUUUGAAAUACUUAAGAAAUGGAUUGGGCUGUGUCUUAGUUAUCUACUGCUGCUAUAACAGAAAUACCACAAGUGGAUGGCUUUAACAAAGAGAAAUUUAUUUCCUCACAGAAAAGUAGGCUAAGAAGUCCAAAUUCAGGGCAUCAGCUCCAGGGGAAGGCUUUCUUUCUGUGUCAGCCUUCUCAUCAGUCUUCCCCGGACUAGGAGCUUUUCUGCAUAGGGGCCCCAAGUCCAAAGGAUGCACUUUGCUCCCGGCUCUCCUUUCUUGGUGGUAUGAGGUCCUCCACUCUCUGCUUGCUUCCCUUUCCUUUUAUCUGUUGUAAGAUAAAAGGUGAUGCAGGCCGCACCCCAGGGAAACUCCCUUUACAUUGGAUCAGGGGUGUAACCUUAGUAAGGGUGUUUUAAUCCCACCCGAAUCCUCUUUAACAUAAAAUUACAAUCACAAAAUAGAGGAUAUCCACACAAUACUGGGAAUCAUGAACCAGCCAAAUUGCUACACACAUUUUUGGGGGGACAUAAUUCAAUCCAUGACAGGCUGCAUUAUAAACUAACAAGCUUUCUAUCUUUUGAAUCAUUCGAGCGAAGUCUUAAUGACCACUUUUUAAGAAUUUGAUAGCGAGAAUUCUUACACUGGGUAGGAGAUUGGACUAAAGAAUUAUUUAAUAUCUGUUUUUCAAUCCUAGGUUCUUAAAUUACUAAACUUUUAAAUUUUUUUUUUUUUUUUAAGAAUAUGAGGGAACCGAAAUGAAGAUUAAGAAAUGGCAAUAACAUGUGGCUUUUGACAGCUCAGGUUGCACAGUGGCUAAGCACUCAUCUGCUAACUGAAAGGUCAGCAGUUCAGUCUCACCAGAGGCUCCACAGAAGAAAAGACCUGGCAAUCUGCUUCUGUAAAGAUUGCAACCUAGGAAACCCUCUGAGGCAGUUCUGCUCUGUCCUAUAGGGUCGCUAUAAGUGAGGAUUGACUCUGUGGCACACAGAAACAACAGCAUUGACCAAAAAACCAAAACCAAAUGGAUUUUGAAAAGAAAGACCCAUAAAGGGGUGUUUUGAAUGGAUAUGAAAGGGAAAGUCAUGAUGGUCUUUGUAGAUAAGGGACACAAAAAAAGAAUGCACCUUUCUUCUGGUGCUGAAGGUUGGGAGAAAGGAACCCACUCUGAAAUGCUUAGAAAAAUGAGCAUAGGGAAAAGGAGAAAGGAAAUUUUUUUUUAGAGAUAUAAUUAACGUAGCAUAUAAUGCACUCAUUUAAAUUGUACAGUUUAAUGUUUUUUUGUUCACAGAUAAGUGAAACUAUCACUACAGUUAUAGGACAAUUUUCGUCACUUCGUAAAUAAAACCCAUACCCAUUAACUAUCACCCCAGAUGUUCUUCCAUCCCAAGCAACCACCAAUCCGCUCUCUGUCCUUAUAGAUUUGUGUAUUCUAUACACAAAUAGUAUGUAUAGAAUACACAAUACACAAUAGUAUGUAUAGAAUACACAAUACACAAUAGUAUGUAUAGAAUACACAAAUCUAUAGAGAUAGAGAGCGGAUUGGUGGUUGCUUGGGAUGGAAGAACAUCUGGGGUGAUUGUUAAUGGGUACGGGUUUUAUUUACGAAGUGAAGAAAAUGUCCUGUAACUGUAGUGAUAGUUUCACUUAUCUGUGAAUAAAAAAAAAAUGUGUGUGGUGGAAACCCUGGUGGUGUAGUGGUUAAGUGCUAUGGCUGCUAAUCGGAAUCGACUUGAUGGCAGUGGGUUUUAGUGGGUAUACUAUGUGGUCUUUUGUGCCUGGCUUCUUUCACUUAGGAUAAUGUUUUCAAGGUUCAUCCAAGUUGUAGCAUAUAUCGAUACUUCAUUCCUUUAUAUGGUGGAAUAAUAUUCCAUUGUAUGAAUAUACUACAUUUGGUUUAUCCAUUCAUCAGUUGAUGGAGAUUUAGGUUGUUUAUGCCUUUGGCUAUUGUGACUGAAUAGUACUGCUAUGAAUAUUUAUGUACAAGUAUUUGUUUGAAUACCUAUUUUUUUUUUUUAUUGUGCUUUAGGUGAAGGUUUACAGAGCACAUUAGUUUCCCACUCAAUAGUCUAUACAAAACUUGUUGCAUGUCAUUGGUUGCAACACCUGCAAUGUGUCAGCACUCUUCCCAUUACCACCCUGUGUUCCCCAUUUCCAUUCAUCAGGAAACUUUUUAAAGAUUGAGAAUCCAAGUGAAUGUUCAGACUGCUAGAAAUAGAAACCAAAGAAUUUGUACCUGUAGUACUUGAAAGAAGGGAAUAAAGCCUAUAGAAAAGUAAAACACUAAAUUUUUAUUUCAUUGGAGAUAGACAGUACAUGGACUUUGAAAGGUUCGGGUUUACUUAGAAAGGCUACUUAACAAGCAGUUUCUACAAUUAAGUUUUUAUAUUCUGUGAUGUGGUCACAGCAGCUUAUAAGCAAGAUAGCCUUUGUACAUAUCUUUUAACAAACAGGUAAGAAUGGCAGAAUUAGGUAAGAAAAGGACCCAAGAAUCAUGUUAAGGUAUGACACAAAAAAGUGGGUAGAAAGUUUAACAGUAAAAACAGAAGGAAAAUGUUGAUUGAGAGUGGUAGAAAUCAUAUCUUAAUUGGCAGUUCUCCUCAGUUCUGUUUUGAAGAGUAUAAUAAUUGCAGGGAACUGAAAAAAAAAAAACAGUACAAGUACAGGAAGAUGAGAGUCACUAACCAAUAUGUGACUUUGGGUUAGUCAUUCAGCUU
This is a long non-coding RNA of Loxodonta africana (African savanna elephant), 21105 nucleotides long. RefSeq lists it as uncharacterized. The record is from RefSeq and is a predicted model, not a curated record. Lineage: Eukaryota; Metazoa; Chordata; Mammalia; Proboscidea; Elephantidae. The transcript has 2 exons.